UACAGAGGUCUCAAGCGUUGUUCGGAUUCAUUGGGCGUAAAGGGUGCGUAGGUGGCGGGGUAAGUCAGGUGUGAAAGCCCCCGGCUCAACCGGGGAACUGCGCUUGAAACUGUUAGGCUCGAGUCAGCUAGAGGUACACGGAACUUCCAGUGGAGCGGUGAAAUGUGUUGAUAUUGGAAGGGACACCGGAGGCGAAAGCGGUGUACUGGGGCUGGUCUGACGCUGAGGCACGAAAGCCAGGGGAGCGAACGGG
RNAcentral lists this ribosomal RNA (253 nucleotides) under uncultured bacterium. RNAcentral's name for it is "partial 16S ribosomal RNA". It matches the Rfam family "Bacterial small subunit ribosomal RNA", at positions 524 to 776 of the family's 1533-position model. The record is from RNAcentral.